RNAcentral lists this ribosomal RNA (804 nucleotides) under uncultured bacterium. RNAcentral describes it as "bacterial SSU rRNA". It matches the Rfam family "Bacterial small subunit ribosomal RNA", at positions 8 to 811 of the family's 1533-position model. The record is from RNAcentral.
AGAGUUUGAUCCUGGCUCAGGACGAACGCUGGCAGCGUGCUUAACACAUGCAAGUCGAACGAGAAUCUGCGGAAAGAGGAUUCGUCCAAUUGAAGCAGAGGACAGUGGCGGACGGGUGAGUAACGCGUGAGGAACCUGCCUUUCAGAGGGGGACAACAGUUGGAAACGACUGCUAAUACCGCAUGACAUAUAGAUGUCGCAUGGCAUUUAUAUCAAAGAUUUAUCGCUGAAAGAUGGCCUCGCGUCUGAUUAGCUAGUUGGUGAGGUAACGGCCCACCAAGGCGACGAUCAGUAGCCGGACUGAGAGGUUGAACGGCCACAUUGGGACUGAGAUACGGCCCAGACUCCUACGGGAGGCAGCAGUGGGGGAUAUUGCGCAAUGGGGGAAACCCUGACGCAGCAACGCCGCGUGAAGGAAGAAGGUUUUCGGAUUGUAAACUUCUUUUGUCAGGGACGAAUAGAUGACGGUACCUGACGAAUAAGCUCCGGCUAACUACGUGCCAGCAGCCGCGGUAAUACGUAGGGAGCGAGCGUUGUCCGGAAUUACUGGGUGUAAAGGGUGCGUAGGCGGCAGAGCAAGUCAGAUGUGAAAUACACGGGCUUAACCCGUGGGCUGCAUUUGAAACUGUUCAGCUUGAGUGAAGCAGAGGCAGGCGGAAUUCCCGGUGUAGCGGUGAAAUGCGUAGAGAUCAGGAGGAACACCAGUGGCGAAGGCGGCCUGCUGGGCUUUAACUGACGUUGAGGCUCGAAAGCGUGGGGAGCAAACAGGAUUAGAUACCCUGGUAGUCCACGCCGUAAACGAUG